UUCUUAAUGCAGCUACGAAAAAGCCGUGACAAGCCGGUUAUAUGGAAAUGCAGAGUCAAGAA
RNAcentral lists this non-coding RNA (62 nucleotides) under unclassified sequences. The record is from RNAcentral.